CACUGUCCCUAGUCGAUACGCAGCCAUCAAAAGCCAAGAUAAAUGUAAACAUGAGCAAGCCAUCCCAAUCCGCUCAGGUAGAUACGUAUGCAAACCCUGAAGACUUCAUUAAAACACCACCACACAUGCAUCCACGAAAGAACGAGGGGGCAGAGGAUCAGGGGGAAGUUCUGAAAUCCCUUACUGUAGAGCACUAAUGACGAAGUGCUGGUGAGCCAUAAUUACUUGUUGGUAUGUGUUGUUCAUACGUAUGUAACUUUGUGUGUCGUUAUUGUCGUGGUUUAAAGAUGGCUUGUUUUGCCUAGUACGCUGUAUAGGUCGUAGUCUUUUGACAUACGUACAUGCACAUGUAUGUAUUGUCAUUGUUGAACAUAAUUAUUGUGGUUCUAGUUUAAAUACCAAGAGAAUAAUUAUAUCAAUGCACCUCUUGCAUCCUUGGUAGUUUUCAGUAACGUACUAUAGCUCUUAUUUUACCAUGCAAGGUUAUGAUUUGAAUGUCACAAUCAACUAUUACUCAUCUGCAUACAUGUAUACCAAAGUCAGAUCAUGAGGAUAUAUAAUUAUAGUAAGAUGUAGACAGGGGCAAAACAAAUCGUCAGCUAUGUAUAUUAUUUUGAAGAAAGAGAUAUAGAAACACCUUUACUACCAGUGUGAGCUGUUCUGCAUGGUUUAACUCUUGCAUUGGCGGUCAGAACUGCGAAAGGGAAAAUGGCUUAAAAGAUUGUUGAUUCUGCAGUACUCCUCUGAAUGAAAAAUUAUCAUUGAGAGAAAGACCUCGAGCUCUCAGCUGUGAGAGUAUGCCGACAACCUCCACCAAUGGCCCCCACAAAAAAACGAAGAGAAAGCUUAUUCGAAACACAAGUGUGCUAUGUGUGGUGAGUGCCAAUCCCAUGUAGUC
Molecule: long non-coding RNA, 898 nt
Organism: Halichondria panicea
Lineage: Eukaryota; Metazoa; Porifera; Demospongiae; Suberitida; Halichondriidae
Exons: 3
Source: RefSeq, a predicted model, not a curated record